This is a ribosomal RNA of Trichinella sp. T6, 2750 nucleotides long. It matches the Rfam family "Eukaryotic large subunit ribosomal RNA". The record is from Rfam. Lineage: Eukaryota; Metazoa; Nematoda; Enoplea; Trichinellida; Trichinellidae.
CGACCUCAGAUCAGACGAGAUCACCCGCUAAAUUUAAGCAUAUCAAUAAGCGGUGGAAAAGAAACGAAAACGAAUUCUCCGAGUAGCGGCGAGCGAAACGAGAGUAGUCCAUACACCGAAGUCGGCGAGCAGUUGUGUUCGUCAACAGUGUGGUGUUAAAGGUGUCGUUGCAUGUGCUGAAAUCAGUUCGUAGGCUCCCUUGAUUGGGGCUUCAGAGCGGGUGCAGGACCCAUAACGAACGAUAUUUUGUGCAUGGUGUCGCGGCUCCUAAUCGAGUCGGGUUGCUUGAGACUGCAGCCCAAAGCGGGUGGUAAAUCUCACCCAAGACUAAAUAUUCGUACGAGACCGAUAGCGAACAAGUACCGCGAGGGAAAGUUGAAAAGAACUCUGAAGAGAGAGUUCAACAGGACGUGAAACCGUUGACAGGCAAACGGAUGGAGCUGACGGUGCAAUUUUGACCAAAAUCAGUCGUCGCUGUGUUCGUUGGCGAAUGAAUCUUUUUUGCAAACUUGUUUGUGCAGGUUAUCUUUCGUUUCGAAUGUACGCACGGUGCACUUUUGGUCGAUCAGCGUCACGAGCAACGUUCGCAUUUUUUGCUGCCGACAGUAAUUGUGUUUGUUGUUUUAAAAGCAACAAACAAUAAAGGCGGUUUGUGGAAGAGGUAAUUGUGGUAAAGACUUGUGCUUGUCUUAAUUGCCGUGCCAAUGCCGCAUCUCUCGGAUGAAUGUUGUUGUUGACAAGAUGAAGAGCAUUGUUCUGCGUACAAUUGUAAUGGGUCUGUUGGUGCCGUUGCGUUCGUGGGUUUCGGCUCACGAUUUGUCUGGUACGUCAGGAAAAAAGUCAAUUAUGAAUGUAAUUGAUCUGACUACCGUGCGUAGCGGUAUUCAAAUGUGUGUUUGAUGGACUUUAUUUGCAAUCGGCGCUCAAUGUGUUUUCUUUUAUCGGUGGCGUCAAUGUUAGCCUCCCAUCCGACCCGUCUUGAAACACGGACCAAGGAGUUCAGUAGGCACGCGAGUCGUUGACGUUUUCCAUUGAACAGUCGAAGGCGAAAUGAAAGUGUUCAUGAAAAUGAACAGUACUUUUUUAUGGAGUGCUGUUCGCUUUCAACAUGAUCGUCCUUGUUUGUGCUUAAUUGUGCAAAAUUGAUGUAUGGGGACGCGCAGUGUGGUGCCGUUGAAUAGUCGCACUGUUCUUUCUUUCUCUUCGGGGUUGGAGGAACAAUUGUCGAUCAGUCGGUUUCGGAGCGUGCACACUGGUACCCGAAAGAUGGUGAACUAUGCUUGAGCAGAAUGAAGCCAGAGGAAACUCUGGUGGAAGUUCGUAGCGGUGUUGACGUGCAAAUCACUCGUCUGACUUGAGUGUAGGGGCGAAAGACUAAUCGAACCAUCUAGUUGCUGGUUCCUUCCGAAGUUUCCCUCAGGAUAGCUGGCAUUUGUUUGUAACAAUUUUAUCCGGUAGAGCGAAUGAUUAGAGGUGUUGGGAACGCAAUGUUCUCAGCCUAUUCUCAAACUUCGAAUGGGUAAGCAAGGCGUUUUGCUUUGAUUUUACGAUGAAAUCGCCCAAUUAGAAUGUAUAAAUGCCUAGUGGGCCAAUUUUGGUAAGCAGAACUGGCGAUGUGGAAUGAACCAAAAGUCAGGUUAAGGUGCCAGACAUUGGCGCUCAUGAAAUACCAGAAAAGGUGUUGGUCGAUAUAGACAGCAGGACGGUGGCCAUGGAAGUUGGAAUCCGCCAAGGAGUGUGUAACAACUCACCUGCCGAAUCGACUAGCCCUGAAAAUGGAUAGCGUUUGAGCGCCAGGCCCAUACCUGACCGUCUCAAUUACGCACUUUUUUUUCGGAAAAGGUGUAAUGAACGUUGAGACGGGUAGGAAGGUCGCGACAGUGUUGCUUUGAAGAGUUUUGAGCGUGAGCUCGCUCGGAGCCGCUGUUGGUGCAGAUCUUGGUGGUAGUAGCAAAUAUUCAAGUGAGAACCUUGAAGGCUGAAGUGGAGCAAGGUUCCAUGUGAACAGCAGUUGGACAUGGGUCAGUCGAUCCUAAGAAAACGGCGAAAGCUUGUUCGAAUUUGCGACAUGAAUUGUAAGACUGUGUGAAUUGUGUGUGUGUGCAGUUGUCGUAUGUUUUCGAAAGGGAAUCCGGUUGAUAUUCCGGAACCGAGUAACGGAGACAAAGAGUAGCGCUUUAAUCUCUCUGUGGGGUUGGCGUUCAACUCAAUCGCGCGGUAACGCAAGCGAACUCGGAAAAUGACCGUCGUGAGUUUCGAAAAGAGUUUUCUUUUCUUUUUAAGGGACGCAUUCCCUGGAACCGGGUUGUCCGGAGAUAGGGAUUCUGGUAUCCAUAAAACGCCGACUUUUUCACGGUGUUCGGAGCGCUCUCGUCGGUACGUGAAAAUCCGAGCGACGCCUGGUAAAUCUCGUACUUGGUCGUACUGAUAUCCGCAGCAGGUCUCCAAGGUGAAUAGCCUCUGGCCGAUAGAAUAAUGUAGGUAAGGGAAGUCGGCAAAACGGAUCCGUAACUUCGGAACAAGGAUUGGCUCUAAGGGCUGGGCCGAUCGGGCUGAGGUUUCAAGCGUGCAGUGUAUGCUUGGCUGAGUUGUGUUGAGGACUUGUUCACUUGCCGCCGUUUGUUCGGUUGGUCUAGUGUAUUCGAGUCUGAAGCAGAGCUGGCCGACAGACCGGCACGUGCAGAACCUGAGCUGUGUGACAGUACUGUUCCGUGUAGUAACCAGUGUACUGCAGACGAAUAGUUCACAGU